RNAcentral lists this unclassified non-coding RNA (418 nucleotides) under soil metagenome. RNAcentral's name for it is "partial contains 5.8S ribosomal RNA, internal transcribed spacer 2, and large subunit ribosomal RNA". The stretch from base 1 to 120 matches the Rfam family "5.8S ribosomal RNA", at positions 35 to 154 of the family's 154-position model. The record is from RNAcentral.
GAUGAAGAACGUAGCGAAAUGCGAUACGUAAUGUGAAUUGCAGAAUUCAGUGAAUCAUCGAAUCUUUGAACGCACAUUGCACUCUCUGGUAUUCCGGAGAGUAUGCUUGUUUGAGUAUCAGUAAACACCUCAAACCUCUUGUUUCUUGUGAAUAAGAGAAUUGGACUUGAGCAAUCCCAACUCUUGCAAAAGAGGCGGGUUGCUUGAAAUGCAGGUGCAGCUGGACAUUCUUCUGAGCUAAAAGCAUAUUUAUUUAGUCCCGUAAAACGGAUUAUUACUUUUGCUGCAGCUAACAUAAAGGUUGAAUGGCCAAUAUGGCUGACUGAUGCAGGAUUAACAGAGAAUUUAUUCUUUGUAAACUCGAUCUCAAAUCAAGUAAGACUACCCGCUGAACUUAAGCAUAUCAAUAAGCGGAGGA